RNAcentral lists this ribosomal RNA (566 nucleotides) under uncultured bacterium. RNAcentral describes it as "partial 16S ribosomal RNA". It matches the Rfam family "Bacterial small subunit ribosomal RNA", at positions 355 to 914 of the family's 1533-position model. The record is from RNAcentral.
UGGGGAAUUUUGGACAAUGGGGGAAACCCUGAUCCAGCCAUCCCGCGUGUGCGAUGAAGGCCUUCGGGUUGUAAAGCACUUUUGGCAGGAAAGAAACGUCGCGGGUUAAUACCCCGCGAAACUGACGGUACCUGCAGAAUAAGCACCGGCUAACUACGUGCCAGCAGCCGCGGUAAUACGUAGGGUGCAAGCGUUAAUCGGAAUUACUGGGCGUAAAGCGUGCGCAGGCGGUUCGGAAAGAAAGAUGUGAAAUCCCAGAGCUUAACUUUGGAACUGCAUUUUUAACUACCGGGCUAGAGUGUGUCAGAGGGAGGUGGAAUUCCGCGUGUAGCAGUGAAAUGUGUAGAUAUGCGGAGGAACACCGAUGGCGAAGGCAGCCUCCUGGGAUAACACUGACGCUCAUGCACGAAAGCGUGGGGAGCAAACAGGAUUAGAUACCCUGGUAGUCCACGCCCUAAACGAUGUCAACUAGCUGUUGGGGCCUUCGGGCCUUGGUAGCGCAGCUAACGCGUGAAGUUGACCGCCUGGGGAGUACGGUCGCAAGAUUAAAACUCAAAUGAAUUGAC